GACAGAGGGUGCAAACGUUGUUCGGAAUUACUGGGCGUAAAGCGCGUGUAGGCGGCUUGGCAAGUCGGGUGUGAAAGCCCCGGGCUCAACCUGGGAAGUGCACUCGAAACUGCUUCGCUUGAGUACUGGAGAGGGUAGUGGAAUUCUCGGUGUAGAGGUGAAAUUCGUAGAUAUCGAGAGGAACAUCGGUGGCGAAGGCGGCUACCUGGACAGUUACUGACGCUGAGACGCGAAAGCGUGGGGAGCAAACAGG
RNAcentral lists this ribosomal RNA (253 nucleotides) under uncultured bacterium. RNAcentral's name for it is "partial 16S ribosomal RNA". It matches the Rfam family "Bacterial small subunit ribosomal RNA", at positions 524 to 776 of the family's 1533-position model. RNAcentral also lists the same sequence under 1 other name. The record is from RNAcentral.